GGGGCCGUGGUGUACCGGAGCACACGGGACUUUUAAUCCCGCCGGAGUGGGUUCGAUUCCCACCGGCCUCU
Molecule: transfer RNA, 71 nt
Organism: Candidatus Entotheonella sp.
Lineage: Bacteria; Pseudomonadati; Candidatus Tectimicrobiota; Candidatus Entotheonellia; Candidatus Entotheonellales; Candidatus Entotheonellaceae
Rfam family: tRNA
About the family: Transfer RNA (tRNA) molecules are approximately 80 nucleotides in length.
Source: Rfam